This 960-nucleotide ribosomal RNA is filed under the name Triticum aestivum (bread wheat). RNAcentral describes it as "partial small subunit ribosomal RNA". The record is from RNAcentral. Lineage: Eukaryota; Viridiplantae; Streptophyta; Magnoliopsida; Poales; Poaceae.
CUCGCCUUCUGUCAGCGGUCCGGGGGCUCCCAGUUCUGGCAAUCCAACAUACAGCUCCUCCCAGUCCUCCGCAUAGGGACCUCGAUUGCGGUUGGAUCUGGCACCGCCACGCUGUUUUGGUUCGAUCGUUGGGCUGGGGACGCACCCUUCGCGGACCGCUUUCCUGGCUUGUUCGCCAUUGCGGUAGAGCCGCGGAUAUCUGUCGCAGUGGCCCUUAUUGACUUAGGGCAACUCGCGUUCCGGUGACCGUUCGGACCUGCGGAGACCGCCGAUUAGCAUGACUUGCUCGAUUGCAUCGUGCUGCACGAGCCUGACCUGGAUAUGGGUGAUGACCGCACCAGGUGGCGUCUAGUGCCAUCUGGCCAAUUCUCCACUAAAUCCCUAUACCACGCGAUCGCCCCCUCCCCGGGACCCGAGGCUCUCACCACCAUUUGGGAGAUCCGGCUCCCCUUGAAGAUCAGAAUAUUCUUGUGGCAAUGGAUCCGUGGCCACCUUCCGUCCGGCGUGGAGGUAUUGAAGCGCAACGGCCCUGGGGACGGGCGUUGCCCGCAAUGUGGGCUCGAAAAGGAUUCGAACCAUAUCUUCUUCACCUGUGUGUCCGCGCAGUUCCUCUGGAGCUAUUUCCGCGAAAUAGUGGGUGGUAGUUGGGACCACAACAACUUCCCCGCUCUCUUCGCCGAACUUCAGGCAUCACCACCCUCGUCUCGCCAUAUUAGGUGGCUGACCAUCGGUGUGCUAGCCUGGACGCUGUGGACUGUUAGGAAUAGGCUCUUGAUUCAGCGUAUACCUCUUCGUCGCGCUACUGACGCUCUGUUCAAAUGGUUUGGUUACUUGCAGCUUUGGCGGCCGCUUAGCCGUCCCAGGGAGAGAGACGCCAUCACAUCCAUCACCACCCAGCUUCGCGCGAUCGCUCUCCGGAUGGCUCCACCACUUCCCCCACCACCACCGGAGCCGGAUUAG